Gadus chalcogrammus (walleye pollock) is the source of this 83-nucleotide non-coding RNA. The record is from the annotation of a RefSeq genome assembly. Lineage: Eukaryota; Metazoa; Chordata; Actinopteri; Gadiformes; Gadidae.
GCUUUGGCCGAGUGGUGGACGAAGGCGAUGGACUAUAAAUCCAUUGGGAUCUUCCCGCGCAGGUUCGAAUCCUGCCGACAACG